CCUACGGUGAGCUGCAGUGAGGAAUAUUGGUCAAUGGUCGGGAGACUGAACCAGCCAAGCCGCGUGAGGGAGGAAGGUACAGAGUAUCGUAAACCUCUUUUGUCAGGGAACAAAGGCGGGGACGUGUAGCCGGACUGAGAGUACCUGAAGAAAAAGCAUCGGCUAACUCCGUGCCAGCAGCCGCGGUAAUACGGAGGAUGCGAGCGUUAUCCGGAUUUAUUGGGUUUAAAGGGUGCGUAGGCGGAAUGCCAAGUCAGCGGUAAAAUCGCGGGGCUCAACCUCGCUCCGCCGUUGAAACUGGCGUUCUUGAGUGGGCGAGAGGUAUGCGGAAUGCGUGGUGUAGCGGUGAAAUGCAUAGAUAUCACGCAGAACUCCGAUUGCGAAGGCAGCAUACCGGCGCCCAACUGACGCUGAAGCACGAAAGCGUGGGUAUCGAACAGGAUUAGAUACCCUUGUAGUC
RNAcentral lists this ribosomal RNA (460 nucleotides) under uncultured bacterium. RNAcentral describes it as "partial 16S ribosomal RNA". It matches the Rfam family "Bacterial small subunit ribosomal RNA", at positions 338 to 795 of the family's 1533-position model. The record is from RNAcentral.